Molecule: long non-coding RNA, 2922 nt
Organism: Oreochromis niloticus (Nile tilapia)
Lineage: Eukaryota; Metazoa; Chordata; Actinopteri; Cichliformes; Cichlidae
Exons: 3
Source: RefSeq, a predicted model, not a curated record
AAUAAGUCAUGGAAAAGUAGGAGGACCACUAGAGUAAAAAGCAUCCUCUGGAUAAACAUGUGAAAUCUGUACAAAAGACCUGUAACAAAAGCUGCAAAUAUCGACCUCAUGGUGGCCCUGAUGUGAAAAUCUAAGCUUUACGUAAGUCUGCAAGCAAUAACAAGUCAGCUGAUGUAGUUCACUGUGGUUUAGCUAGUUCCUGUUUUUGUAUAUACAAGACUUACUGAAUGAAGAGUUCAAGCAGACAUCAAGGUGACAGCCGUCAGUCACGAGGAGAAGAUUGGUUUGAAAUUUUCACAUCAAAUUUGUCAGAGAAGAAGAACAAAGCAUUAACGGAUGAUGCCAACGAUGACACUUUGCCUGCUGUUGUGGGUUCUUGGUACUGGAGUUAUUUUAUCAGAGGGAGAUGAUCCACCUUUUGAUGAUGAAGGUUAUACUAAUUUUUUUACUUAUGGCGAAAUAAAUUCAACCUUAAUAAUAAAUGACACUGAAGUGUUGCUUUCUCGAUCGUCAUGUAAUAUCUGUCUCCUCUGCUCUAUGUCUAUAGUUCUAAUUUGUAAAUAUCUUUACAUGAUGCUGACUCCAAACAUACUGUACUUCUGACAUACUAGUGAAAUAGACUGCUUAACAAAUUUAUUGGACCAUAAGUUUAUGAACAGCAUUUGUAAUUACCAAAAUAGUUGUAUCUGUUUCUGCAGUGGUUAAUCCAUCACUUUAUGGAUGCUCUUUAAUCAAAAUGAUAUGUUGAUGGCAAAAUCAAAUCAGGUCCAUAAAUAUUUGGACAGAGACAACUUUUUUUGUAAUUCUGGUUCUGUACAUUACCACACUGAAUUUUAAAUGAAACAGCUCAGCUAUAAAUAUAAAUAUAAAUAUCCAUCCAUCCAUCCAUCCAUCCAUCAAUUCUCUUCUGCUUAUCCUUGGCAUGGUCUCGGUGGGGAUGGAGUCUAUUAUUACUAUUUUUAUUGAAUGUUUAAUGAGUAAAUGUAACAGCUUAACUUCAGUUGUUAUUUCACUUUCAGAUUAUCAAAGUGUUGAUAAUGAUGUUGGCAGUGGUGAAAUUCCAGAAAAAGACAGGACACCCUCCUCAGCUCCCAGAAACCAUGGACUGAAAACAGCUGGUGCUGAAAAUGCUGACCUCUCUUCCCUUGGCCUGAGCUAUGUUCUUUUAGCUUUGUGUAUGCUAGUAUAAAAAAAAAAGUUUGUUUGUUUUUUCUUUUGAAAAGUGUGAGCUGCUUGUAAAUACACAGGAAACCUGUUCACCCCCCACCUGCAAGUUUUAUCAUCCUGCUCUUACUAAGCUGAUUAGUGGUUUGGUUGUUAAAGUGAUUACUUCUGUGUUUCUCGCCACAUGAUCAUAUCACACAUGUUUAUGAGCUACUGAUAUUCAGCAUCUGCAACCACAAAUCCACUAAGAGCGAGGUGUUCCGUUUUAUUUUCAGAUGAAUAAGCCAUUAGAAAUAAAACAAUCUUUAUUUUUCACCAAUUCUAACCAAGAAAACUUCAGAUUGGCACAUAAGCUGCAAACACCUGACAUAUAAACCAUGAAAACUGUGCCUUCUUUAUUGGUGCAGUCACCUUUUCUAGGUACGCAAAUUUCAGGGUUGAAUCCCCCAGUUGCCAUCAUUGUAAUUACUCAUGCAUGCAUGUGGUAUAUUUUAAAGAACUCACUGACAUUUGUGUGUGUGCAAUCAUCUUGGACUGGCAAGGGUUUGAAACUCAAGUUGGUCCUCAGAGUACACAAACUGAAACCUGCUAGUUUCAAAGUGCAGGUGAGCUGCUGUAGAAGCAACAACAUCUACCCAUUGUUGGGUGUACAUGAAAACAAAUGAGAGAAGAAGAUGUGUGACCUGUAAAGCCCUUGUGAACUUGUAGUAAGUAGUAAGUCUAAAUUUAAAUACAUACAGGGUUUAAAAUGACUUUAAAGUUCAAAUUUCCUCAAGACUGGCCUGCACAGAGUCCUGACCUCAACCCGAUCGAACACUUCUGGGAUGAAUUGAAGUGGAGACUGUGAGCCAAGUCUUUAUAUCCAACAUCAGUGUCUGACCUCACAGAUGCACUUCUGGAAGAAUGGUGAAAAAUUUUCAUAAACUCUCCUAAACCUAAGUUGAACAUGUUUGGGCCAACAUCAUAUGAAACCCUGUCACUCAAGUUCACAUGCAUGUGAUGGCAGAGAAGUAAAUACCUUUGGUUAUAUAGUGCAUGUAAAUCUGACCACUGCGCUGUUAAUACUCAUAUUAAAUAAAGGAACAGCUCAAAGAACAAACAGUAUAAAUUCACUUUGUUCACUUUGUGUCAGGGCUGGCUCUGUGACUCAGCACUUUCAGCUGGUUUUGAUCUCUUGUUAUAUUUUGAAGAUAAUGCGGAGUUUGGGAUUAUUAAUUGGCUGUGAAUUUUAGUUCAGUCUGUUUCACCCAGGCCUUCUGUGCUAUUUGUUAUGUAUUUCUUGUCAGCGUGUUUCAUGUUGUCAAGCCUGUGUCGUCACAUCUACGUCUCUCCAUGUUUCCUGUUUUAUUUUGAAAGUCUUGUGUUUCUUUGUUUAACGUGUUUUACUCUUCUCCUGUGAUGUCCUUAUGUUCAUUUGAGUCAGCUGUUUCCCCGUGUGUUUCCACUUCCCCUGUGUGUAUUUAAGUCCUCCUUCUUCCUUUGUUCUGUGUCAGGUCGUCAGUUUUCCUGCCCUCUGUGUCACUUCAGGUUUCCAAGAUUUUCAUGAUUUUGUUCAGGGCAUGUUCAUGUGUCUAGUUCGUGUUUGUAUUUCACAGUUUCUUUCAUAGCUGCACAAAAUCAUGUUCAUAGUCGUCAUAGUCAUUUCAAGUGUUUCCAGUUUAGGUUUUAGUUUAGCCCUUUCCACUGUUCAUGUUGUUUUGUUUUGUUUUGCACUCUUGUCAUAAGCCCUAUUAAAGUCUCGCGUUUUGUUUAAAGUUC